This is a non-coding RNA of Pelodiscus sinensis (Chinese soft-shelled turtle), 335 nucleotides long. Lineage: Eukaryota; Metazoa; Chordata; Testudines; Trionychidae. The record is from RefSeq and is a predicted model, not a curated record.
AAAAUAUUCUAUAUACAGAGAUGGGAAAAGUCAGCGUUUACAUCUGGGGGUAUUAAUCAGCCCAUUAAAGACAUAAAGACUAGCCCAAAAGAGCAGAGGUAUAUAAUGUGCAUCUGAGGCACCUGCGUCAGCUGCACUUCUGAUACUGCUAUUGUAGACAUGAAAACACAAAGCAUUAUCUACGCAUUUUUCUCUUCCUGAACAGCUUGUUACUUAUAAGCAGAAGGAGCUGAAUCAGAACAAAGAGCUGAGGCCCUACACAAAAUGCUAAACUGACAUCUAUUUUUUUCUCUUGAAAAUGUAGAGCAAAUGCAAUAAAAGUGCCAAAGAUGGAA